RNAcentral lists this ribosomal RNA (746 nucleotides) under uncultured Bacteroidota bacterium. Its description in RNAcentral is "bacterial SSU rRNA". It matches the Rfam family "Bacterial small subunit ribosomal RNA", at positions 9 to 715 of the family's 1533-position model. Lineage: Bacteria; Pseudomonadati; Bacteroidota. The record is from RNAcentral.
GAGUUUGAUUCUGGCUCAGGCAUGAACGCUAGCGGCAGGCUUAAUACAUGCAAGUCGAGGGGCAGCGCAGUGUAGCAAUACAUGGGCGGCGACCGGCAAACGGGUGCGGAACACGUACAGAACCUUCCUUCAAGCGGGGAAUAGCCCAGAGAAAUUUGGAUUAAUACCCCAUAGUACUACGAAGUGGCAUCACUUUGUACUUAAAGAUUUAUCACUUGAAGAUGGCUGUGCGCCUGAUUAGGUAGUUGGCGGGGUAACGGCCCACCAAGCCUACGAUCAGUAACUGGUGUGAGAGCACGACCAGUCACACGGGCACUGAGACACGGGCCCGACUCCUACGGGAGGCAGCAGUAAGGAAUAUUGGUCAAUGGACGAAAGUCUGAACCAGCCAUGCCGCGUGGAGGAUGAAGGUCCUCUGGAUUGUAAACUUCUUUUAUAUGGGACGAAAAAAGGGUUUUCCUAACCUCGUCUGACGGUACCAUAUGAAUAAGCACCGGCUAACUCCCGUGCCAGCAGCCGCGGUAAUACGGGAGGGUGCAAGCGUUAUCCCGGAUUUCACUGGGGUUAAAAGGGUGCGUAGGGUGGGUUGCCAAGUCCGUGGUGAAAUUCUCCCGAGCCUUAACUCGGAAAACUGCCGGUGGAAUACUGGGUAGUCUUGAAAUAAUCGUGGGAGGUCCAGCGGAAUUAUGUUUCAUUGUAUGCGGGUGAAAUUGCUUUAAAAUAUUAACAUUAAAAACCACCCAAUU